This 239-nucleotide long non-coding RNA is filed under the name Elaeis guineensis (African oil palm). RNAcentral describes it as "long non-coding RNA (EGUI_LNC070932)". Lineage: Eukaryota; Viridiplantae; Streptophyta; Magnoliopsida; Arecales; Arecaceae. The record is from RNAcentral.
GGAAAGUGAUGGUAAGUGGAGUUCCCACUACCCAAACUUAGGUCGGGUACUUGCGUCGCACCGUGUGAUAAAUGGUGGCAAGCCGAAUAUCCUUCGACCGGUCUCGACCCGGUCAGUAAGUCGCGAACGCGACAUCGGUUGCGUCGGCGCUUUGCCUUUUUCGGCCGGAGCUGGGUCGGCAAGUCGGCCGAUCGUUCUUGUUCGAUCACUUUGGUUGAGAUUUUUAGAUGUAGAAGGAG